GGCAGGAUCAACCAGGUAGCAUUCCUCAGAGACAACGAGUCGCAAGAUGUAAAACAUCUACGCAACAUCGAACGUCAAUCGAAUGGGACAUGUGAUGCCUAUUUGUGGGCAAAUAGAGGGUUGGACGACCCUUGCCUGCAAUGUUUUCUGAAUCCCCGAAAUCAAGCUCAGCUCGUGGCCGACACUGCAUAGCAAUUUAUAUGCAUUUCGAAACACGAAUUUCGCUUUAAGGUUUGCCCGAUGCCGCACCGUGUAAUCGGGCAGCAGUGGAAAAACUUGGGAUAGAUUGCCCAGCAAAUUCCAUUGAUGUAGGUAUACAGUACAGGAAACCGACAAAUCGGCCAAGGCAAAGGAGGCUCUUGUGCCAAUAAUGAAGAGGAAUGCACGAGAGGAUGUCGCUACCCAAGUAGGGAUCCAA
This 418-nucleotide unclassified non-coding RNA is filed under the name Psychotria sp. ck78. Its description in RNAcentral is "partial external transcribed spacer". Lineage: Eukaryota; Viridiplantae; Streptophyta; Magnoliopsida; Gentianales; Rubiaceae. The record is from RNAcentral.